GUGCUGGCAAUGGCAGUUGUGGCUGGAUUAUUCAUGUAUCUGAGGAAGAGGAAAAAUAGACAACCUUAUAUUGAUUAUCCAUCUGAAUUGGCUGGAAUGAAUUCCGAUGAGAGUUCAGAGGUACAUAGUACCGCAAUUAGAAAAGGGCUGCAGCCAUGUGAACUUAAUGAUCAGCAUGCUGUUACUUGAUUAGACCAGAUGGUGUCAUGUGAUCAGGAGAGUCUGGGUGCUCUG
Long non-coding RNA from Engraulis encrasicolus (European anchovy), 234 nucleotides. RefSeq lists it as uncharacterized. The transcript is spliced from 3 exons. NCBI's taxonomy places the organism in Eukaryota, Metazoa, Chordata, Actinopteri, Clupeiformes, Engraulidae. The record is from RefSeq and is a predicted model, not a curated record.